GUAUAAUGGCAUAAUUUGGCAUGAACAUACUUUAUAUACAAAGUUAUGAAAAAUUGUGCUGUGAAUGGAUAAUUAUGAAUGUAAUGCAUUCCACUAUUGUCAUGUAUGUAAGAAAUUAAAAAAAAAAAAAAAAAAGAAUUACAGGCUCCCAUGCAGCAUGCUACCUGUCAUCAGAUUGUCACUGGUGACUGUGGGAACUUCUAGGUUUACAAGGUGAAAAGAAAAAAGGUAAUUGGAAAGUUUAGUGUAGGAGGUAAUUUUGUUUGUUUUGGUUUUGGUUGACCAGCUUCCAUUUCACUUCCUAAUAAUACCCAAUUUCCUUUUGAAGGAGGAUAUCUUUCCUCUUGGAGUCAGUCUUUUGGAACUAUAAUUAAGAGCCAAACUUACCUUGAAGCCCACCUUAUUCUAAUGAGGUAUUUUCUUCCUAGAAUUAGACUCUUGAGCACAGAGACCAAGAAAAUUAAAAAGUGUUGAAUAGAAAUGGCCUAGCAGGCAUACAGUACCUGCUACGAGACCACCAUAGUGAUUCCUGGUGCCUUAGUCAUCCAUUAAUUACCCCAAUAGUGGGCUCUAAUCUUCUAAUAAAUUGCUCUUUCCAUAAUUUAGUUAGAGUUACUUCUUUUACUGUUAACUAUUAGUAUGAUAAAGUUUGUGUAAGAAAUUAUCAGGCUGGGCGAGGUCACUUGGAAGCUGAGACAGGAUUGCAAGUUCAAAGCCAGCCUCAGCAAUGUAGAGAGCCCCUGUCUCUAAGUAAAAUAUAAAAAAGGGCUGAGGAUGUGGCUCAGUGGUUAAGCACCCCUGGAUUCAAUGCUGGUACCAAAAAAAAACAGAAAAGAAACUAUCAGAAUAACAGUUCUGAUAUCUUUCAGUACUUUGAACCAAAGCUAUUAUAUGAACCCCAGAAUAAAUAUCAGAUAUAAUUUGGUUCAAUUUAUGACUGACUUUCCUAACAUGGAAGUGUGUAACAUUCAAACAUGAAUCUUCAUAGGAUCAAAAUAUCACUUGUUUGGAUUGGUUAUUAGAAUCUAAAAGAAAUAAUUCAAAACUAUAUUUUUAGUUCUGUCUUCAGUGGAUCUAAAGUAAAAGGUAAGACUGAAAAUGAGGAUCAGUCUUACUACCACCCAAGUAAAUAUAAAUUGAGUACUAUACUUUCAGUUCUGCCAAAGUUAAAAAACUGACAAUAUCCAUUACUGGUGAGAAUAUGAACAAAA
RNAcentral lists this long non-coding RNA (1211 nucleotides) under Marmota monax (woodchuck). The record is from RNAcentral. Lineage: Eukaryota; Metazoa; Chordata; Mammalia; Rodentia; Sciuridae.